CAGUCGCCACGGUAAAACGAAGGGGGCUAGCGUUGUUCGGAUUUACUGGGCGUAAUGCGCACGUAGGCGGAUCGAUCAGUCAGGGGUGAAAUCCCAGAGCUCAACCCUGGAACUGCCUUUGAUACUGUCGAUCUGGAGUAUGGAAGAGGUGAGUGGAAUUCCGAGUGUAGAGGUGAAAUUCGUAGAUAUUCGGAGGAACACCAGUGGCGAAGGCGGCUCACUGGUCCAUUACUGACGCUGAGGUGCGAAAGCGUGGGGAGCAAACAGGAUUAGAUACCCCCGUAGUCCCUGUCUCUUAUAC
RNAcentral lists this ribosomal RNA (301 nucleotides) under uncultured bacterium. RNAcentral describes it as "partial 16S ribosomal RNA". It matches the Rfam family "Bacterial small subunit ribosomal RNA", at positions 509 to 807 of the family's 1533-position model. The record is from RNAcentral.